UCCGUAGGUGAACCUGCGGAAGGAUCAUAGUAAUCGUCUUUGACGUACGCUUUGCUCUCCGUCGUCCGCGGGACGUUAAGCAGCUCUGGUCCGAGGAUAAUGGACCCCUCUGACCGAGGCUAACUGCGUCGCUCGCCGUGUUACUCCUCCGGGGGCACACGUUAAAGAUCGUUCCGCGUCGUGAGUCUUGAACUGGUUGUAUACCAAAUCGUUUACAACCGGUAGCGAUGGAUCCCUUGGCACGUCAUUCGAUGAAGACCGUUGCAAAUUGCGAUAAAGUGAUGUGAUGCGCAAGUCCACCACUUAUACGUGAAUCAUCGAGUUGUUGAACGCACUGCACCGCGCCCUAAACCGGCUGCGGUAUGCCCCUUUGAGCGUCAUUGUAUCCCUUCGGGAGUCUCUUUUUCAAGAGACCCGAGUUCGGAGUCCUCGGUCCUCUGGGACCGUGUUCUCUCAGAUGCGUCGCGCCGAUCGCCUUGAUGGGUACUCUAAUGCCUGAGUGCGGAGUCCCACUGAAGGCCGAGACGCGCUGGACCGGGCGUUGGGCCCGCUGUCGCCAAGUCCGAACCGCCCUCGUGCGGCUUCGGUACUACAACCACAUGACCUCAUUGGGGUAGGACAACCCGCUAGACUUAAGCAUAUCAAUAAUGCGGAGGA
This 657-nucleotide ribosomal RNA is filed under the name Tulasnella sp. HB1L. RNAcentral describes it as "eukaryotic LSU rRNA". The stretch from base 217 to 380 matches the Rfam family "5.8S ribosomal RNA". Lineage: Eukaryota; Fungi; Basidiomycota; Agaricomycetes; Cantharellales; Tulasnellaceae. The record is from RNAcentral.